AGUGAACGCUGGCGGUAGGCCUAACACAUGCCAGUCGAACGGCAGCACAGUAAGAGCUUGCUCUUACGGGUGGCGAGUGGCGGACGGGUGAGGAAUACAUCGGAAUCUACUUUUUCGUGGGGGAUAACGUAGGGAAACUUACGCUAAUACCGCAUACGACCUACGGGUGAAAGCAGGGGAUCUUCGGACCUUGCGCGAUUGAAUGAGCCGAUGUCGGAUUAGCUAGUUGGCGGGGUAAAGGCCCACCAAGGGGACGAUCCGUAGCUGGUCUGAGAGGAUGAUCAGCCAACCUGGAACUGAGACACGGUCCAGACUCCUACGGGAGGUAGCAGUGGGGAAUAUUGGACAAUGGGCGCAAGCCUGAUCCAGCCAUACCGCGUGGGUGAAGAAGGCCUUCGGGUUGUAAAGCCCUUUUGUUGGGAAAGAAAAGCAGCAGGUUAAUACCCCGCUGUUCUGACGGUGCCCAAAGAAUAAGCACCGGCUAACUUCGUG
Molecule: ribosomal RNA, 492 nt
Filed under: uncultured bacterium
Lineage: Bacteria
Description: partial 16S ribosomal RNA
Rfam family: Bacterial small subunit ribosomal RNA
Source: RNAcentral